UUAAAGGAUCAACAUUAACGCAGCAGAAACUUUCUGUUUUGUUCCAUACACCGUUGUCCCUUGUCAAAACCUGACGCCAUUACCCAUAAUGCAAAUGGACUGCCGACAGUUCAGGUGUGUUAUGGUAGUAGCGGCGGCAGCCAAUGAAGGAUCAAGCUACUAGCCUCAAGCAGAGAUGAGGAGCGAGCCACAAAGGUCUGGAAACACAUGAAGAAAAUGCAAACCCCCACACAGGAAGGCCCCAGCUGACUGUACUGCCCGAAACACUAAAACUGUAUCGAUACAAGAUCUGUUUUGAAGAUGAAAAUUGAACAUUGCAGGGAAAAGGCUUCUUCACCACAGACCAAGUUCACUGCAUUCACGAAGACCACUGAUGAGGUGAACCAAGACUUGGUAUAACCCGUGACGACAUGGAUGACAUCAGCAAAAGCAUAAAAUAGGGAAGUGUUUGGCCGCCAAUUCCUGUAACUAAUGGAGUCCAUGAGACACAGAGGAGAAACAUUUCAGAGAGGAAAUCCCAGACGAGACCAUGCUUAUCGGUCAGUGACCCUAAGCACAUUGCCAAGACAACGCAGGAGUGGCUUAGGAACAACUGUAAUUGUCUAGAGUGGCCCAGCCAGACCUGACUUGAACCCAAUCAAACAUCUCUGGAGAGACCUGAAAAUGGAUUUGUACUCACAGUCCCCAUCCAACCUGGCAGAGCUUGAGAGGAUCUGCACAGAAGAAUGGCAGAAAAUGACCAAAUCCAGGUGUGCAAAGGUUUUUGUGUCAUACCCAAGAAGACAUGAGACUGUAAUUUGUGCAAAAGCUGCUUCAACUAAGUGCUGAGUAAAAGGUCUGAAUUCUUCUUAUUUCCUUUGAAUAAAUUUGCAAAAAUGUCCAAAAUUCUUUUAGUUUUGACUUUGUCAUUAUGGGAUACUGCGUGUAGA
Seriola aureovittata is the source of this 929-nucleotide long non-coding RNA. RefSeq lists it as uncharacterized. NCBI's taxonomy places the organism in Eukaryota, Metazoa, Chordata, Actinopteri, Carangiformes, Carangidae. The record is from RefSeq and is a predicted model, not a curated record. The transcript has 5 exons.